CUAACUCCGAAACUGCAUCGAUACUGGCGUGCUGAGACUGGAGAGGAGACUGGAAUUACGGUGUAGCAGUGAAAUGCGUAGAUAUCGUAAGGAAGACCAGUGGCGAAGGCGGGUCUCUGGACAGUCCUGACACUGAGACACGAAGGCCAGGGGAGCAAACGGGAUUAGAUACCCCGGUAGUCCUGGCAGUAAACGGUGCACGUUUGGUGUGGGAGGAUUCGACCCCUUCUGCGCCGGAGCCAACGCGUUAAACGUGCCGCCUGGGGAGUACGGUCGCAAGAUUAAAACUCAAAGAAAUUGACGGGGGCCCGCACAAGCGGUGGAGUAUGUGGCUCAAUUCGAUGCAACGCGAAGAACCUUACCAGGCCUUGACAUGCAUCUCUAAGCUGGUGAAAGCCAGCGAGUGUCGAAAGACACAAUUUGCACAGGUGCUGCAUGGCUGUCGUCAGCUCGUGUCGUGAGAUGUUGGGUUAAGUCCCGCAACGAGCGCAACCCCUGUGAACUGUUGCCACGGAACCGAGAGGUUCCAGCACUCUGUUCAGACUGCCUCGCUUAAACGAGGAGGAAGGUGGGGAUGACGUCAAGUCAGUAUGGCCCUUACGGCCAGGGCUGCACACGUACUACAAUGGCUGGCACAAAGGGAAGCAAGACCGUCAGGUGGAGCAAAUCCCCAAAAACCAGCCCCAGUUCAGAUUGUCGUCUGCAACUCGACGGCAUGAAGCUGGAAUCGCUAGUAAUGGCGCAUCAGCUACGGCGCCGUGAAUACGUUCCCAGGCCUUGUACACACCGCCCGUCACAUCAUGAAAGCCGUUUGUACCCGAAGUCACUGUAUUAACCGCAAGGGAAGAGGUGCCGAAGGUAUGGAUGGUGAUGGAUGAAGUCGAACAAAACGG
RNAcentral lists this ribosomal RNA (893 nucleotides) under uncultured soil bacterium. RNAcentral describes it as "SSU rRNA". It matches the Rfam family "Bacterial small subunit ribosomal RNA", at positions 609 to 1499 of the family's 1533-position model. The record is from RNAcentral.